AUUGAACGCUGGCGGCAGGCCUAACACAUGCAAGUCGAGCGGAUGAAGGGAGCUUGCUCCUGGCUUCAGCGGCGGACGGGUGAGUAAUGCCUAGGAAUCUGCCUGGUAGUGGGGGAUAACGUCCGGAAACGGGCGCUAAUACCGCAUACGUCCUGAGGGAGAAAGUGGGGGUUCUUCGGACCUCACGCUAUCAGAUGAGCCUAGGUCGGAUUAGCUAGUUGGUGGGGUAAAGGCCUACCAAGGCGACGAUCCGUAACUGGUCUGAGAGGAUGAUCAGUCACACUGGAACUGAGACACGGUCCAGACUCCUACGGGAGGCAGCAGUGGGGAAUAUUGGACAAUGGGCGAAAGCCUGAUCCAGCCAUGCCGCGUGUGUGAAGAAGGUCUUCGGAUUGUAAAGCACUUUAAGUUGGGAGGAAGGGCAGUAAGUUAAUACCUUGCUGUUUUGACGUUACCAACAGAAUAAGCACCGGCUAACUUCGUG
Molecule: ribosomal RNA, 484 nt
Filed under: uncultured bacterium
Lineage: Bacteria
Description: partial 16S ribosomal RNA
Rfam family: Bacterial small subunit ribosomal RNA
Source: RNAcentral